RNAcentral lists this ribosomal RNA (424 nucleotides) under uncultured bacterium. RNAcentral's name for it is "bacterial SSU rRNA". It matches the Rfam family "Bacterial small subunit ribosomal RNA", at positions 355 to 776 of the family's 1533-position model. RNAcentral also lists the same sequence under 1 other name. The record is from RNAcentral.
UGAGGAAUAUUGGUCAAUGGGCUUACGCCUGAACCAGCCAAGUCGCGUGAGGGAAGACUGCCCUAUGGGUUGUAAACCUCUUUUGUCAGGGAGCAAUUGGCGCUACGUGUAGCGUUAUCGAGAGUACCUGAAGAAAAAGCAUCGGCUAACUCCGUGCCAGCAGCCGCGGUAAUACGGAGGAUGCGAGCGUUAUCCGGAUUUAUUGGGUUUAAAGGGUGCGUAGGCGGAAUGCCAAGUCAGCGGUAAAAUCGCGGGGCUCAACCUCGCUCCGCCGUUGAAACUGGCGUUCUUGAGUGGGCGAGAAGUAUGCGGAAUGCGUGGUGUAGCGGUGAAAUGCAUAGAUAUCACGCAGAACUCCGAUUGCGAAGGCAGCAUACCGGCGCCCAACUGACGCUGAAGCACGAAAGCGUGGGUAUCGAACAGG